GAUGAACGCUGGCGGCGUGCCUAAUACAUGCAAGUCGAGCGAACAGACGAGGAGCUUGCUCCUCUGACGUUAGCGGCGGACGGGUGAGUAACACGUGGAUAACCUACCUAUAAGACUGGGAUAACUUCGGGAAACCGGAGCUAAUACCGGAUAAUAUAUUUAACCGCAUGGUUCAAUAGUGAAAGACGGUUUUGCUGUCACUUAUAGAUGGAUCCGCGCCGCAUUAGCUAGUUGGUAAGGUAACGGCUUACCAAGGCAACGAUGCGUAGCCGACCUGAGAGGGUGAUCGGCCACACUGGAACUGAGACACGGUACAGACUCCUACGGGAGGCAGCAGUAGGGAAUCUUCCGCAAUGGGCGAAAGCCUGACGGAGCAACGCCGCGUGAGUGAUGAAGGUCUUCGGAUCGUAAAACUCUGUUAUUAGGGAAGAACAAAUGUGUAAGUAACUAUGCACGUCUUGACGGUAACUAAUCAGAAAGCCACGGCUAACUACGUG
Molecule: ribosomal RNA, 497 nt
Filed under: uncultured bacterium
Lineage: Bacteria
Description: partial 16S ribosomal RNA
Rfam family: Bacterial small subunit ribosomal RNA
Source: RNAcentral